This 57-nucleotide transfer RNA is filed under the name Lepisosteus oculatus (spotted gar). It matches the Rfam family "tRNA", at positions 9 to 63 of the family's 71-position model. Rfam says of the family: Transfer RNA (tRNA) molecules are approximately 80 nucleotides in length. Their secondary structure includes four short double-helical elements and three loops (D, anti-codon, and T loops). The record is from Rfam by way of RNAcentral. Lineage: Eukaryota; Metazoa; Chordata; Actinopteri; Semionotiformes; Lepisosteidae.
AGCUCUGUUGGUAGAGCACGAGACUCAUAAUCUCAGGGUAGUGGGUUCGUGUCCCAC